This 205-nucleotide unclassified non-coding RNA is filed under the name Hevea brasiliensis (rubber tree). Lineage: Eukaryota; Viridiplantae; Streptophyta; Magnoliopsida; Malpighiales; Euphorbiaceae. The record is from RNAcentral.
UUGGCUCGCCAGCAUCGAGGUUGCCCGAUGUACACGGUCAAGGAGCUGCCCAUAGCUGAUCUGUCUGCCCUGAUACUCGAUCGCGACCGAAGAUUUGUGGAUCAGCGCUCUCGCGCGAAACAGCUCGCCAAUCGUGGGACUGGCGCCCGCCCUCGUUGUCAGAGCUUUUUCGUGCCCGUCUGUCACGGCAAAUCCUCCGAAUCUU